CCUACGGGGGGCUGCAGUGGGGAAUAUUGGACAAUGGGGGCAACCCUGAUCCAGCCAUGCCGCGUGUGUGAAGAAGGCCCUCGGGUUGUAAAGCACUUUCAGUGAGGAAGAACGCCUGGUGGUUAAUACCCAUCAGGAAAGACAUCACUCACAGAAGAAGCACCGGCUAACUCCGUGCCAGCAGCCGCGGUAAUACGGAGGGUGCGAGCGUUAAUCGGAAUUACUGGGCGUAAAGCGCGCGUAGGUGGCUUGAUAAGCCGGUUGUGAAAGCCCCGGGCUCAACCUGUGAACGGCAUCCGGAACUGUCAAGCUAGAGUGCAGGAGAGGAAGGUAGAAUUCCCGGUGUAGCGGUGAAAUGCGUAGAGAUCGGGAGGAAUACCAGUGGCGAAGGCGGCCUUCUGGACUGACACUGACACUGAGGUGCGAAAGCGUGGGUAGCAAACAGGAUUAGAUACCCGGGUAGUC
Molecule: ribosomal RNA, 465 nt
Filed under: Vreelandella stevensii
Lineage: Bacteria; Pseudomonadati; Pseudomonadota; Gammaproteobacteria; Oceanospirillales; Halomonadaceae
Description: partial 16S ribosomal RNA
Rfam family: Bacterial small subunit ribosomal RNA
Source: RNAcentral